GAAUGAAGAACGCAGCGAAAUGCGAUAAGUAAUGUGAAUUGCAGAAUUCAGUGAAUCAUCGAAUCUUUGAACGCACAUUGCGCCCGCCAGUAUUCUGGCGGGCAUGCCUGUUCGAGCGUCAUUUCAACCAUCAAGCCCCCGGCUUGUGUUGGGGACCUGCGGCUGCCGCAGGCCCUGAAAAGCAGUGGCGGGCUCGCUGUCACACCGAGCGUAGUAGCAUACAUCUCGCUCUGGGCGUGCUGCGGGUUCCGGCCGUUAAACCACCUUCAUAACCCAAGGUUGACCUCGGAUCAGGUAGGAAGACCCGCUGAACUUAAGCAUAUCAAUAAGCGGAGGA
This 337-nucleotide unclassified non-coding RNA is filed under the name soil metagenome. Its description in RNAcentral is "partial contains 5.8S ribosomal RNA, internal transcribed spacer 2, and large subunit ribosomal RNA". The stretch from base 3 to 121 matches the Rfam family "5.8S ribosomal RNA", at positions 36 to 154 of the family's 154-position model. The record is from RNAcentral.